Molecule: unclassified non-coding RNA, 396 nt
Filed under: soil metagenome
Description: partial contains 5.8S ribosomal RNA, internal transcribed spacer 2, and large subunit ribosomal RNA
Rfam family: 5.8S ribosomal RNA (bases 1-120)
Source: RNAcentral
GAUGAAGAACGUAGCGAAAUGCGAUAAGUAGUGUGAAUUGCAGAAUUCAGUGAAUCAUCGAAUCUUUGAACGCACAUUGCGCCUCCUGGCAUUCCGGGAGGCAUGCCUGUUCGAGCGUCAUCAAACCCCAUCGUGCAAACGAAUUAUUUUUUUUGCGCGGAAGUGACGAUUGAGCGAGAAUAACAAAUCCUCUCGCACCUCGUCGAAAUGAUUGCGGGCGGAAUUUGGGAUCGGGUUCCUCGGCGUAGUGUAUCAAUGCAUAUUUAUGCAACUUGCCGCGGAGUUGAGCCUGACCCACGCGUUCUCGCCGUACAAACACCUCAUUAUUUUACAAGUUUUUGACCUCGGAUCAGGUAGGGAUACCCGCUGAACUUAAGCAUAUCAAUAAGCGGAGGA